This 463-nucleotide ribosomal RNA is filed under the name uncultured Pseudomonadota bacterium. Its description in RNAcentral is "uncultured proteobacterium partial 16S ribosomal RNA". It matches the Rfam family "Bacterial small subunit ribosomal RNA", at positions 32 to 498 of the family's 1533-position model. The record is from RNAcentral. Lineage: Bacteria; Pseudomonadati; Pseudomonadota.
AACGCUAGUAGUAUGCUUUACACAUGCGAGUUUAACGGAAUAAUUUUUUUUCGUGGCGGACGGGUGAGGAAAAUGCAGUAAUUUUGCCUUUUAAUUUAUGAUAAAACAUAUUCAAAAGAUUACAAGUUCUUUUUGAAUAAAAAUGUUAAAGUUUUUGUUAAUAAUAAAUAAAAAUAAAGAUUGUUUAAAAAUAAUCGUUAAAAGAUAAAGCUGCGUAAGAUUAGGUAGUUGUUAAUUUAAAAGACUAACAAGCCUGCGAUCUUUAGUUGAUCUUAGAGGAUGAUCAACCACACUGGAACUGAGACAAGGUCCAGGCUAAAAUUUUUGGCCAGCAGUGAGGAAUAUUGGACAAUGAACGAAAGUUUGAUCCAGCAAUACUAUCUGAAUGAUGGACGGCUAUUUAGUUGUAAAAUUCUUUCGUUAAAGAUGAUAAUGACAUUAUUUAAAGAAGUAAGUCCCGGCU